CCACUUACCUGGCAGGGGACAUACCAUGAUCACGAAGGUGGUUUUCCCAGGGCAAGUCUUAUCUAUUGCGCUCCUGAUGUUCUGACCCUUGCAAUUUUCCCAGAUGUGGGAAACUUGACUGCAUAAUUUGUGGUAGUGGGGGACUGUGUUUGCUAUUUCCCCCC
Molecule: small nuclear RNA, 164 nt
Organism: Nycticebus coucang (slow loris)
Lineage: Eukaryota; Metazoa; Chordata; Mammalia; Primates; Lorisidae
Product: U1 spliceosomal RNA
Exons: 1
Source: RefSeq, a predicted model, not a curated record